UGUGGCAAUUACAAUCACUGGAAAAAGAUUUUCAAAUUUUAAGCUGGCAAUUGUUAAUGCCAUAAUAGGGUGAGCCAACCAAUGGUUACAACCUCUAUUAUGACAAUUAUAAUCAUCAAAAAAAAAAUUCAAACUUAAACUGGCAAAUGUUUAUGCCAUUAAAACCUAUGAGUAUUGCUUCUAAAUCUGAGCUUUUGUAGC
This 201-nucleotide long non-coding RNA is filed under the name Elaeis guineensis (African oil palm). RNAcentral describes it as "long non-coding RNA (EGUI_LNC033464)". Lineage: Eukaryota; Viridiplantae; Streptophyta; Magnoliopsida; Arecales; Arecaceae. The record is from RNAcentral.